This 81-nucleotide transfer RNA is filed under the name Hypsizygus marmoreus. It matches the Rfam family "tRNA". Rfam says of the family: Transfer RNA (tRNA) molecules are approximately 80 nucleotides in length. Their secondary structure includes four short double-helical elements and three loops (D, anti-codon, and T loops). Lineage: Eukaryota; Fungi; Basidiomycota; Agaricomycetes; Agaricales; Lyophyllaceae. The record is from Rfam by way of RNAcentral.
GCAUUAAUGGGGUAGUGGUAACCUGGGUCGUUGCCAUUUACGAUGUUCGACCCGCCGGGGGUUCAAUUCCCUCUUAAUGCA